This is a long non-coding RNA of Salvia splendens (bonfire salvia), 2113 nucleotides long. RefSeq lists it as uncharacterized. Lineage: Eukaryota; Viridiplantae; Streptophyta; Magnoliopsida; Lamiales; Lamiaceae. The record is from RefSeq and is a predicted model, not a curated record. The transcript has 10 exons.
AUUUUUGUUAAUAGGGCACCAGGAUUCAAGCAUCAUUUCCAGGGUAUUCAUGCCAGAGUAUUACUGCUAAACUAAGUGAAGGAAGGAUAUUUUGCAUAUGGGAUUUUCUUGUGAGACCAAACAAUCUCAAGAACAAGACCACCAUUCACCAAUUUAGGCUCACCAUGGUUGCCAAAACGGAAAUAUCUGAAGUCACAGAUUCUAAAUUCCUGUAUUCUAGGUUUGCAUUUAAGAAUUUUGAUGAGAUAGCAAGGCAUGACAGAGCUACUGAAGAAACAUUUUUUGAUGUAAUAGGAGUGAUUGUUGCACCUGAGAGAGUUCUAUGUCAGCCUAAAUGUAGACUUAUUGAGAUUGAAAUUGCAGAUGAGAAUCAUAACAUGAUCUUUUGCACAAUUUAGGAUGCAAACGUUGAUUCUUAUCUUCAACAGUUGGAGAAAAGUAAAGGAACUUUGCCUAUUAUAAUUGUUCAAUUUUGUCGGCCAAAUAUGUUUAAAGGUGAGAUACGUGUCUCUACACAUUUUAAUUCCUCCCAAGUUUUUAUCAAUGCUGAUAUAAGUGAGGUUAAGCAAUUUAGAAGCAGGAUAUAUGGGGAUCCAACUUUCAUGAGUAUGGUGUCAUUAAGUGAAGUUGGAAAGAAGAUAAAUAGUGAGUUUGAUGACCUACAACUGAAGAGUCUGGAGGAUGUCUUGUGUAUUGAGAGUGGUUCAUAUUGGGUGUUUGGAAGGGUUAUUUCUGUGAAAUGUCACUAUGGUCAAUAGUGUUGUGAAAAUCGCACUCGGGGCGCGGGGCGAUCAAAGCGAGACUGUAAUCGCUCCGAUACGGCGGGGUCGUGUGAGAUCCGUGGAGCGACGGUGGGGCGCGCCUGGGUCGUCUGGGUCGCCGUGGAGCGAGCCGAUUUAGGUUACAUAUUGAUGACUGUUCAUCUUAUUCCUUGAAUAAAUAAAAAAACGGUAACUUACCAACUUCCCAUACUCUUAUUUAUGGAAUACCUACACCUACCUUUCUCUUCAACCGCCUUCUCCUCUCCUCUUUCUUCUUCUUUUUUCUUCUCCUUUCUUCUUCAUCAGCCACCACUCCUUCGACGUGGGUCUUCUUCAGCAAAAGCAAAAAUCACUUUAUUCUCCAGCCACCACUCCUUCGACGUCCAGAUUCUCAAGGUUUAUCUACAGAUUUAUUUGAUGUGAUAUACAUUCAAGCAACAAACUUAUAAAAGAGACACAAAUAUAAUCAUCAUUCGGCUAUUCUGGCGCCCCGAUUCGUGGGUCUCUCGCCCCGUCGUCCCAUCGCCCCGCGACCCGGGGUCCCCCUCAUCGCCCCGGGGCGCCCCGCGACCCUAACAACACUGAUGGUCAAUGGUUUUAUGAGUCCUGCAAGAUUUGUGUGAAGAAGCUUGAACAAGUUGCCCCUAUGAAGUAUUAUUGUGUGCGUUGUAAGAAGACUUUUGGUUAUGCCAAAAGGAGGUAAAGAUUUGUUCUAAAUAUUGUGGAUGACGCUAGCAAUGUUUCACUUCUGCUUUGGGAUAGAGAGGCUAUUCAACUAUUGGAUUUGAAAGUUGAUGACAUUGUUGAUGCAGAUGAGAUUUUCCAUUCCUAGGAGGAUAGAGGACAAGCUUUGUGGACAUAAUUUUCUGUUUAAAGUCCAGUUGAAGGAUCAUUUUGAUUAUCCAGUUAGCCAUCCAUUUACUGUGAAUAAAGUCCGUAAAACUCCUGAAAUUGUUGAAAAAUAUAUCUAUGAAGGUUUUGUUUCAGAACCUAUUAGUUCUCAGGUGAAGCUGUAUGAUCUAUUGUUUGGAGAUGAUCUUGCUGAGGUCUCUCAAAAAAGCUUUCAUACACCAGACUUAUCCAGUGUAGAGGAUGGCAAUAAUUCUGAAUGGACUGUGAAAGACACUGUGAAGAGAUGUUUGGAUCUGGAGUUUGAUGCAUGUGAAGAUAACACUGAUUGUGAGUGUCUUAAAAGGAAGAAAGUGAAUGGUGCCAAAUAGAUCCUUAUAGAGAUAUUUGGCUUGUGUUUUGAAGUUAUGGACAAUGUUUUAGUUUUGUUUUUGUGAUCAGCUAUUUAGCUUAUGAUUGAGCAGCUUUUAAGCUUAUGACUUAUGAUUUAAUGUUAUGUUUUA